This 87-nucleotide transfer RNA is filed under the name Thermoflexus hugenholtzii JAD2. RNAcentral's name for it is "tRNA_Leu_CAA". It matches the Rfam family "tRNA". From Rfam's summary of the family: Transfer RNA (tRNA) molecules are approximately 80 nucleotides in length. Their secondary structure includes four short double-helical elements and three loops (D, anti-codon, and T loops). RNAcentral also lists the same sequence under 1 other name. Lineage: Bacteria; Bacillati; Chloroflexota; Thermoflexia; Thermoflexales; Thermoflexaceae. The record is from RNAcentral.
GCCGGGGUGGCGGAACAGGAAGACGCGCCUGACUCAAAAUCAGGUGGCCGCAAGGCCGUGCGGGUUCGACUCCCGCCCCCGGCACCU